GAACGGGUGAGUAACACGUGAGUAACCUGCCCUUGACUCUGGGAUAAGCGUUGGAAACGACGUCUAAUACCGGAUACGAACCGAGGAGGCAUCUCCUGCGGUUGGAAAGAAUUUUGGUCAAGGAUGGACUCGCGGCCUAUCAGCUAGUUGGUGAGGUAACGGCCCACCAAGGCGACGACGGGUAGCCGGCCUGAGAGGGUGACCGGCCACACUGGGACUGAGACACGGCCCAGACUCCUACGGGAGGCAGCAGUGGGGAAUAUUGCACAAUGGGCGAAAGCCUGAUGCAGCAACGCCGCGUGAGGGACGACGGCCUUCGGGUUGUAAACCUCUUUUAGCAGGGAAGUAAGCGAAAGUGACGGUACCUGCAGAAAAAGCACCGGCUAACUACGUGCC
RNAcentral lists this ribosomal RNA (396 nucleotides) under Labedella sp. R10.58. Its description in RNAcentral is "bacterial SSU rRNA". It matches the Rfam family "Bacterial small subunit ribosomal RNA", at positions 100 to 509 of the family's 1533-position model. The record is from RNAcentral. Lineage: Bacteria; Bacillati; Actinomycetota; Actinomycetes; Micrococcales; Microbacteriaceae.